This 83-nucleotide transfer RNA is filed under the name Borrelia crocidurae str. Achema. RNAcentral's name for it is "tRNA-Leu". It matches the Rfam family "tRNA". From Rfam's summary of the family: Transfer RNA (tRNA) molecules are approximately 80 nucleotides in length. Their secondary structure includes four short double-helical elements and three loops (D, anti-codon, and T loops). Lineage: Bacteria; Pseudomonadati; Spirochaetota; Spirochaetia; Spirochaetales; Borreliaceae. The record is from RNAcentral.
UGCAGGAGUGGUGGAACUGGCAGACACGCUAGACUUAGGAUCUAGUGCCUUAGGCAUGUGGGUUCAAGUCCCACCUUCUGCAA